Molecule: ribosomal RNA, 346 nt
Filed under: uncultured Anaerolineaceae bacterium
Lineage: Bacteria; Bacillati; Chloroflexota; Anaerolineae; Anaerolineales; Anaerolineaceae
Description: bacterial SSU rRNA
Rfam family: Bacterial small subunit ribosomal RNA
Source: RNAcentral
AGCUUGUACAGGUGCUGCAUGGCUGUCGUCAGCUCGUGUCGUGAGAUGUUCGGUUAAGUCCGCUAACGAGCGCAACCCUCGCUGUGUGUUACAAGGUGUCACACGGGAACUGCCGGUCAUAAACCGGAGGAAGGUGGGGAUGACGUCAAGUCAGCAUGGCCUUUAUAUCCUGGGCUACACACACGCUACAAUGGGAAGGGACAAUAGGGUUGCGAAGCCGCGAGGCGGAGCCAAUCCAGCAAAACUUCCCUCAGUUCAGAUUGCAGGCUGCAACUCGCCUGCAUGAAGUUGGAGUUGCUAGUAAACGCAGGUCAGCCAUACUGCGUUGAAUACGUUCCCGGGGCUU